AUCCAGCUGACGAGUCCCAGGUCAGACGAAAUGCGCGUCCUGGAU
RNAcentral lists this non-coding RNA (45 nucleotides) under Schistosoma mansoni. Lineage: Eukaryota; Metazoa; Platyhelminthes; Trematoda; Strigeidida; Schistosomatidae. The record is from RNAcentral.